CUAACGACUCUCGGCAACGGAUAUCUCGGCUCACGCAUCGAUGAAGAACGUAGCAAAAUGCGAUACUUGGUGUGAAUUGCAGAAUCCCGUGAACCAUCGAGUUUUUGAACGCAAGUUGCGCCCAAAGCCAUUCGGCCGAGGGCACGCCUGCCUGGGCGUCACGC
This 164-nucleotide ribosomal RNA is filed under the name Launaea lanifera. Its description in RNAcentral is "5.8S ribosomal RNA". It matches the Rfam family "5.8S ribosomal RNA". Rfam says of the family: 5.8S ribosomal RNA (5.8S rRNA) is a component of the large subunit of the eukaryotic ribosome. It is transcribed by RNA polymerase I as part of the 45S precursor that also contains 18S and 28S rRNA. The record is from RNAcentral. Lineage: Eukaryota; Viridiplantae; Streptophyta; Magnoliopsida; Asterales; Asteraceae.